This is a small nucleolar RNA of Sorex araneus (European shrew), 127 nucleotides long. RefSeq annotates it as small nucleolar RNA SNORA44. Lineage: Eukaryota; Metazoa; Chordata; Mammalia; Eulipotyphla; Soricidae. The transcript has a single exon. The record is from RefSeq and is a predicted model, not a curated record.
UAGUAUGUUUCCAAGGUCUGUUGCUGGUAGUGGCCAUGGGGUCUCCAACUACAUACUAGAGCAACCUGGGGAGACUUUCGCAGUUAAGUACGGGUCCCUGCAGCUGCUAUGUACCUUUUCUAUAAAC